UCUCGUGGUGGUGGUUGUGGUGGGCGGAGAUCUGGUUAUUGUGUUGGCGGCUAGCUCAGCUGGGAAAAGGAAGGUGCGACCGUUGUUGGUUUUUUAUACAAGGUCUUGUGAAUUGCAGUGUGGCCACUGCUAUGACAAGUCUUUGCGAGUUGUUGUUGAUGACAUGGAACUGCAGAGCAUCAGUUGCAUGGUUAUAGGUCAACAGGCCGGAGCUGGUUUGGUGAAGAAGAGUCGAUGUGGAAUUGAAGAAGAGGGCAGCUAUCACAUCAUUUUUUAAUCUUCAGCCCAAGGCAACGUUCCUAUCAUGACCUUCCUUUGUGCAGAGUCCUCUUUGUGCUUCUUGCAUCCUGUGAAGAUGAUAGGACCUGCGGAUAAGGCGUAGCUAGGGUUCAACAAGGGUGAGUUGGUGACCUGCACGGCACCACCACCCUCGAAGUUGCAGUUGCUCUGUUCUGUUGGGCAUCGUCAUCCUCUUUCAGGCACAGAUCAACAUGCUCAUGCCUUUUUGGUUUGUUCUCCCUGUUCAGAUAUAUGCUGUCAGCAUACAUAUGUUGUUCCAAUGGCUUGAAGAGGUGUGUGGCUCACCAACGAGGACGUUUGUCCAUGCAUGAUGUCAUUUUGCUCUGAUGAAGCUGCUCUUCCCCUAAGAGUGCCAGUAAUGUUGUGCUUGAUUAUAUAGAAGCCAUAAACAGAACACUAACUGAUUCAGGUGUCACCAUCGUCGGAGACAGCAGAACAGAUAGAAUCACCUCCUCUUUUGAUGCUGAUGCUGAAGAAACGUGACCAGAGAACCAUGUCUACAGGAAUAGGGAAGAGAAAUUAACAUACGAGAAUAUACUCCAUCUGAGUCUGAUUCUAUGGCGUUGGAUGAUGUUCCUAUGCGCUCAAAGGAUUAUAUAUUAUCAGGGCAUCGCCAUCUUACAGAAGAACGAGAGUUGAUGAUCUUUAAAUUUGGUUGUUUAUUUUUUUUCCUCAAACAUAUCAACGCUCUCUUGAAGCUAGGAAGACAGGAAUCAAGUUUUCUGCUUUUAUUUCGUAUUUGGUUUUGUAUAAAAUAAAUUGCUAAGCUCCAUGAUCUGUGAGAUUCGCACCGUCUAGGUUUAGCUCCGGCCGCAGCGUCCAACUUCAUAGAGCCUGGAUUUCGUGUUUUCUCCCCACCGAGGUCAGCCCGCCUCACAAAUAUCCACGCCCAAGUUAAUUCUCUGCAGCCUAUUGCGGAGUGCCACAAGUCCUGCUAUUUUUCUGGGAUCUGUUUUUUAUCCCAAGAAUGGUGAUUGUUUGCACAUUGAGCUAGCAAAGUCGAAUUCACGCAGACGUAAUGGAGGUUACAAUAUUGCUAAUUCUCUUACUCGUAUCACUUCCCUCCAGCAAAAUAUCCUACAACUGAGUUUAAGGGAAUGAUGAGUGAAGGUGGAGGAGUUGAUGAAGACAAUACUAAAUCCUAUAGGGUAAGGAUUAUUUUUUCACUGGCCAAGGACAAGCUAAGAUGGCUCCAAGGUCAUAUGAGCUCCUCCAUUUGGUUGUGGGCUCGUGCAGGCUGUUGUUGCGACUGUUCCUCUGAUAGGCUGGACCUAGCGAUGGCAAGAUGUUAUCGUCUCAUCUGUCAUGAGAGCCUUGCUCCAGGAAUCACCGCCUUGGAUUGGGUCUAAAGGUAUGCUUGAGGCGACACCUCCAGUUGAGUUUGAAGAGGUGAUUCUUUUUUGCACAUUAAACACACGCAUGGCAGAAUAUAAUUUUAGUGCAAUACAGCGUUCAUGGUCAAAUGAUAUUCGGUUAUGAAAUAAGAUUGUAAGAUAAGUUUAGAAGCAUUUGUAUAAUGUACAAAUAUCACUUGACAGAACUGAGAAACUUUUGUUCUACCUCUGUUAUUCUCAAAGCUUAAAGUGUUUGACAUAAUGUUCAUCCGUGUGAAAGAUGGGCCACGUGCCAAGGUGUGCCCUAUCAUAGUGAAAAAGCAUAAGACGAGCUACACAAUGAUUCUAUCCAUAUAUCUGUUUAUGAGAUUGCUCA
Long non-coding RNA from Lolium rigidum, 2010 nucleotides. RefSeq lists it as uncharacterized. The record is from RefSeq and is a predicted model, not a curated record. The transcript has 12 exons. Lineage: Eukaryota; Viridiplantae; Streptophyta; Magnoliopsida; Poales; Poaceae.